UUGGAUGCUGAUCAUCUUUCGCCGGUGAAGAUCGUAGGGCUCGUGCUCAAUCAGCCAUUUUUCGGUGGGGUCCAGAGGACUGAAUCGGAGAAAAGAAUGAUCGACGACAAGCUCUGUCCGUUGAGUGCAACGGAUCUCAUGUGGGACCUGUCGUUGCCGAAGGGUGCGGAUCGCGAUCAUGAAUAUUGCAAUCCGAUCGCAAGUGUGGAAACUAACGAUAAGAUCGGACGGCUGCCAAGUAGUUUUGUGGGAGGACGCGAGGGGGACCCGUUGAUCGACAGACAAAAAGAGUUAUCAAAAAUGUUAGAGGCGCGCGGAGUGCACGUGGUGCCACAGUUUGACGAUGGUUACCACGCAUGUGAGCUGUUUGAUCCUUCCAAAGCCGAAGCCCUGUACAAGGCUGUCCAGGAAUUCGU
Molecule: long non-coding RNA, 416 nt
Filed under: Citrus sinensis (sweet orange)
Lineage: Eukaryota; Viridiplantae; Streptophyta; Magnoliopsida; Sapindales; Rutaceae
Description: long non-coding RNA (CSIN_LNC004092)
Source: RNAcentral